Molecule: ribosomal RNA, 497 nt
Filed under: uncultured bacterium
Lineage: Bacteria
Description: partial 16S ribosomal RNA
Rfam family: Bacterial small subunit ribosomal RNA
Source: RNAcentral
GACGAACGCUGGCGGCGUGCCUAAUACAUGCAAGUUGAGCGCUGAAGGUUGGUCCUUGUACCAACUGGAUGAGCAGCGAACGGGUGAGUAACGCGUGGGGAAUCUGCCUUUGGGCGGGGGACAACAUUUGGAAACGAAUGCUAAUACCGCAUAAAAACUUUAAACACAAGUUUUAAGUUUGAAAGAUGCAAUUGCAUCACUCAAAGAUGAUCCCGCGUUGUAUUAGCUAGUUGGUGAGGUAAAGGCUCACCAAGGCGAUGAUACAUAGCCGACCUGAAAGGGUGAUCGGCCACAUUGGGACUGAGACACGGCCCAAACUCCUACGGGAGGCAGCAGUAGGGAAUCUUCGGCAAUGGACGAAAGUCUGACCGAGCAACGCCGCGUGAGUGAAGAAGGGUUUCGGAUCGUAAAACUCUGUUGGUAGAGAAGAACGUUGGUGAGAGUGGAAAGCUCAUCAAGUGACGGUAACUACCCAGAAAGGGACGGCUAACUACGUG